RNAcentral lists this ribosomal RNA (253 nucleotides) under Segatella copri DSM 18205. RNAcentral's name for it is "Prevotella copri DSM 18205 partial 16S ribosomal RNA". It matches the Rfam family "Bacterial small subunit ribosomal RNA", at positions 524 to 776 of the family's 1533-position model. Lineage: Bacteria; Pseudomonadati; Bacteroidota; Bacteroidia; Bacteroidales; Prevotellaceae. The record is from RNAcentral.
UACGGAAGGUCCGGGCGUUAUCCGGAUUUAUUGGGUUUAAAGGGAGCGUAGGCCGGAGAUUAAGCGUGUUGUGAAAUGUAGACGCUCAACGUCUGCACUGCAGCGCGAACUGGUUUCCUUGAGUACGCACAAAGUGGGCGGAAUUCGUGGUGUAGCGGUGAAAUGCUUAGAUAUCACGAAGAACUCCGAUUGCGAAGGUAGCUCACUGGAGCGCAACUGACGCUGAAGCUCGAAAGUGCGGGUAUCGAACAGG